Non-coding RNA from Cinara cedri, 231 nucleotides. NCBI's taxonomy places the organism in Eukaryota, Metazoa, Arthropoda, Insecta, Hemiptera, Aphididae. The record is from the annotation of a GenBank genome assembly.
GGGUCGAUGUCAGUAACAUGUCAUUAAAAUAAUUCUAAUAGGCAAAAAAGAAAAUGCAUUUAGGUAUAUAUGUGUACGUCUGUAUGCCACUUGAAUAUUGUUUGAACGCAUUAAAAUGUAUAAUAUCAGUUUCGUCAAAUUACCAAAGUCAUUACAAAUAACAGAUUUAUUAUUGUAAACGAAGCCACCAUUAUCUGAGGUAGAAUAACUGGCCGAAUGAUCUUAUAAAAA